RNAcentral lists this small nucleolar RNA (92 nucleotides) under Notamacropus eugenii (tammar wallaby). The record is from RNAcentral. Lineage: Eukaryota; Metazoa; Chordata; Mammalia; Diprotodontia; Macropodidae.
AUGAAUGUUGGACAAGCUAUUGCAAUGAUGUAUGAAUUUCUUCACCUGAAAUAAUUGUGUAGAUCAAAUACACGAGCUUUUUAACCCUGAGC